Molecule: non-coding RNA, 1400 nt
Organism: Castor canadensis (American beaver)
Lineage: Eukaryota; Metazoa; Chordata; Mammalia; Rodentia; Castoridae
Source: RefSeq, a predicted model, not a curated record
ACUUCCCGCGCGACUUCCCGCUCAGAACAUGGCGGCGCUGAGUGGUGUCCGCUGGCUGACCCGAGUGGCGGUGGCCGCCCGGUACCCCGCGGCAUGGAGAAGUCUGAGUACCUCGGCCACGGCGCAGGCCGCUUCGCAGAGUCAGGUCCAAGACGUGACUGUGGAGGGUGCCUUUCCUGUGACCAUGCUGCCGGGAGACGGCGUGGGGCCGGAGCUUAUGCACGCAGUCAAGGAAGUGUUCAAGGCUGCCGCUGUCCCGGUGGAGUUCCAGGAGCACCACCUGAGCGAAGUGCAGAAUAUGGCUUCUGAGGAGAAGCUGGAGCAGGUGUUGAGUUCCAUGAAGGAGAACAAGGUUGCCAUCAUUGGAAAGAUCCAUACCCCAAUGGAGUAUAAGGGAGAGCUAGCCUCCUAUGAUAUGCGGCUGAGGCGUAAGUUGGAUUUGUUUGCCAAUGUAGUCCAUGUGAAAUCACUUCCUGGGUAUGUGACUCGGCAUAACAAUCUAGACCUGGUGAUCAUUCGAGAGCAGACAGAAGGGGAAUAUAGCUCUCUGGAACACGAGAGUGCAAGGGGCGUGAUUGAGUGCUUGAAGAUUGUCACUCGAACCAAAUCUCAGCGGAUUGCAAAGUUUGCCUUUGACUAUGCCACCAAGAAUGGGCGGAACAAGGUCACGGCUGUCCAUAAGGCCAACAUCAUGAAACUUGGGGAUGGAUUGUUUCUGCAGUGCUGUGAGGAUGUUGCUGAACUAUACCCCAAAAUCAAGUUUGAGACAAUGAUCAUAGACAACUGUUGCAUGCAGCUGGUGCAGAACCCUUACCAGUUUGACGUGCUUGUGAUGCCCAACCUCUACGGGAACAUUAUUGACAACCUAGCCGCUGGCCUGGUUGGGGGAGCUGGUGUGGUUCCUGGUGAGAGCUACAGUGCAGAGUAUGCGGUUUUUGAGAUGGGUGCCCGGCACCCAUUUGCCCAGGCAGUGGGCAGGAAUAUAGCUAAUCCCACGGCCAUGCUGUUGUCAGCUUCCAACAUGCUGCGGCAUCUCAAUCUCGAGUAUCAUGCCAACAUGAUUGCAGAUGCUGUAAAGAAGGUGAUCAAAGUUGGCAAGUCCCAUCUGCUGUUCCCUUUCUGCUCCAUCCAUUGCCUCUUUCUUGGGCCACCUGAAUGCAGAUCCUGCAGCCUUGGAGUGGCAGGGGAAGAGCAGGCAGGAUGAAGUGCUAGCUUCAUUUUCUUCAUGCCUGAGAGCCCUUUCCUCCCACCUGGUCUGUCUCAUUUCCUCCAAGGUGCGGACUCGAGACAUGGGAGGCUACAGCACCACAACCGACUUCAUCAAGUCUGUCAUCGGCCACCUGCACCCCCAUGGGGGCUAGAGCCCUUUUUCCCCUCCAACCUCACAAGGACCAUGUUAC